RNAcentral lists this long non-coding RNA (5556 nucleotides) under Spirodela polyrhiza (greater duckweed). Its description in RNAcentral is "long non-coding RNA (SPOL_LNC002271)". Lineage: Eukaryota; Viridiplantae; Streptophyta; Magnoliopsida; Alismatales; Araceae. The record is from RNAcentral.
UGGUAUUGAUGGUAAGCUGGUUGGAACCGAGGAUGCGGACGAAAGGGGAGGGGGGAGGUCGAUCGGCGAAGAUGGCCCCGUGCUGGACGAGCAUCUUAUGGGCGAGAUCCCGGUCGGCGACCAUGAUGAUCGGAUGGGAGCCGAGGUGGAUUGUCACGACGGGGCCGUACUUGGACCAGAGCUCCCCGAGGAGGGAUUCGAAGUCGGCGGCAGAGCGGGUGAGCCACAUGAGAUUGCCGAUGAUGGGUAUGGCCGGCGGGCCGGGCGGUAAACCCCGGCGCGGCUUCCGGAGGAAGAGGGAGGCCAGGGCCAGGCAGAAGAAGAGGGUGAAGACGCCAACGCCCCAGCGAUCCAUAUCCGCUGCGCUUUGGCAAGUUCCAGAAAGUCGAGGGCUCCUUUCAUUUAUAGAGGGAACUCUGUACACGCUAGCUGAGGUACGUCCCAACUUCCACACGGUAAAUACGCCUGCGUGAUAGCUGAGAAAAGCGUGGUACCGAAUUUCUACAUUUAUUCGUCAAUUGCCUCAUCGCUCAGAGGCAAGACGGCGAUCGGCAGAUGGCGCAGCCAUCGGGACCACUUCGGCCUAUGAUUAAAGAAGGCCAGAAUAAAUAAGAUAAUCGCGAUUAUUUAUUUAGAAGAUAAAGGGACCAUGAUCGUCCACUGGGCUCCAAAUUCUGGUCCACACAGAUAACGACACAUAUUCCCAACUCUUUGUAAUCAUUACUUUGAAAAGAAUAUUAUCUCUCAUGAUAUGUCACACCAUUUUAUGAGGGAAUGCCUUUAAAUCUUCAUAAUUACUCAUAGAAUUAACAAGGGUUACUGCCCCCCCAAUUAAUGUAAUUAUCAGCCUAUCCACCCAUCACGAUGAGACACACCUAUAUGUAUGCAACCCUUACAUGUUCUACAUGUGUCAUGUUGUGUCUAAGUUAUGCCACAUGUGCCAGUUCACAUUCAAUGUAUAUAUUUCACCUAUGAGGUUCAUAGAUGCCUUCCAUGAAUCACACAUAGGGUUCGCUGAUCAUCAUUGAUUAUUGAUCUGAUAAGAAUGAUCGAUCAUGUGAUCACAAUAUUAUAUUAUUAUAUUAUACUAUGCCUAAAUAUUAUAUAUAAAUAUCUAAUAUGUAUAUUAAAUAUUUAUAUAUGUAAAUAUUAUAUAUAACUAUGUAUAUGAUACAUAUAUUAAAUAUAUGUAAAAAUAUUACAUAUAAAUAUAUAUAAAUUGAUACACUACUAUAGAUACAUUAUUAUAAUGUAUAUUUAUAUAUAGGCCUAAGUCUAAUAUACUAGUAUAUAUACAAUAUGUAUAUGAAAUAUAUAUACAUAAAUAUUGCAUAUAUAUAUACUACUAUAUAUACAUAGGUGUAAUAUAUAGCUAUAUAUUACACCUAAAUAUUAUAUAUAAAUAUGUAUCCACUAUAUACAAUGGAUCUCCAAGAGCGAGAGGAGAGAGAGAGACAAUAGUGCUAAAGUUAGUGACAACAAAGUCGAUCUUCAAUGGGAGGAGAGAGAGGUGACAGCCGGCAAGAGUGGGAGCAGGAGUCAAGAGAGAGAGAGAAAUUUAAUCUCUCUUGUAGAUAUUGAAUCCUAACCGUUGGAUGAUAAAAAGUAAUCAUCCAACAGAUAGGUCAAUUGUGGGCUGAGUCAUGCCGUCCUAAAUAUGUAAAUAUAAAUUUAGUAUAGGUAUCAUAUAUUUAUAUAUAAUAUUUAGGUAUCACUCAAUUAUAUAAUAUAAUAAUAUUAAAUGACAACAAUCACCUAAACAUGAUGAAUCAGAUUGUUGAUCACGACAAUCAAUGAUCACUAUCAACGAGUUUAUCUAAUUAGAUCAUCAAUCAUUCUGAUUGGAUCGAUGAUUGAUAAUGAUCACAAUACCCUAAUGUCAUGUUAUAGAGGAUGGGGAGGGAGGGCAAGACAAGGUAGAGGAAGAGGUUGAGGAUGACAAAUUCCCAAGUUUCCCUAUCCACUUCUCUCUUAGAGAGUUCAAAAUUGUUUGAGAGGUUGUUUCAUUUAUAAUGGAGGGGAAGCACCACCUUGGAUUGUAGUACAAAGUAGACAUAAUUCUUGGUCACUCUUCUCAUUACUUGGAGUUGACAUCACUAGGUUUAAGUCAGUGCCACCUAGGACUUGGUGGCCCUUAACAGCACCAGUCAGCCUUCACUAUGCAUGGACAAUUUUUUUCACCCAAAGUGACGUAUAAUAUGAUCCACUCAAGAAUACAUGGACAAGGAAAUCUAGUAUGCCUUCCAUACUCAAAUGCAUCAUCAUUUGUUGGGGACUUGGUCAAUGUUCAGCACAUAUGGACGACCUUUUUCAUUCAAGCAUACAAGUCUAGUUUGCCCUUUAUUCUCAAAUUGAUGCAGGAUGGAAUGAUGAAAGACUAAACUACCUUAAAGUAACAACCUAAACUCGACUCUUAUGUUAGGCCUAUAUAGUCUAAGAGGGAAGAUCAGUUUAGGAUUGAGUAUUCCUACAAUAUUUGAAAAAAGUAACAUUGAUGCCAUUAAAGAAUUGCCAAUGAUUAUCAGCCUUGAUAUUCACAUUAGUAAAAUUAAAUCAUUAAAUAAGCAUUUCACAAAAAAGAUAUCCAAAGAAAAUAACUUUGAUGUAAUGAGUUAUAAAAUUUAUUUUACCAUUUUUCAUAUAAUCUCAUUGUGUUUGACAUUGAUUAAUAUGAUAUUUUUAAUUAUUUUUCAAUGAUUAAAAACCAUCUAGUCACCCGGUUCAAACCAACUGCCCUCUUUGGGUUAGAGCCCUUGACGACAUUCACCAUGAUCCACUCCAGUGCAGUGGAGGUGGAUUUAGAGCCGGAGGCGAGGAACUUGGAGUAGAAGGAGAUGACCUCCUCGUUGUUGAGCUUCCUCCCUCACUCUUCUUGGAUCUCGAGGUCGAGGAGGGAAUCCAAGUAGGAGUAGCGGAUGCUGUUCUCACCUGCAACCAUAGAUUCCUUUUGUUGGCACCGAGAGCCGAUCAGUGGGAGGAAAAUCUCCAUCUGCCGCUGCCGGAGUUGGAGUAGACGGUUCCACUAUGAACUGAAUAAGUAGCUAACAACUUUGGGAUGAACUUUAGGAGAAUAAGAUUCCCCAGAAAGUGUACAAUGUCCCUCUACACAGCCACGAUAUCUCUCGCGGUCACCUCCUCGAUGUUCUCUGUAAAGCAGAGAAGGACGAGCGGGUAGAAGAUGACAAACUGGAAAGUCUCCUUGGCAGCCACAACACUGUUCUUGGACGUCACUUCGAUGUGCAGCAUGUCGAGUACAACGUCUAGGACCAACUCACGAGAAUUGGCACACUGCCUACUUACGAGGUCGUAUCAUUUAUAACGAAGGCAAAGUGCCUCCCCAAAAAGGACUACAGUCCACAAGAGAGAAUUCUCGAUCACUCUUCUCAUCGCUUGGGGUCUGAGUCACCCGGUUUAAGUCGGGGCCAUGUCAGACUUGGUCACCCUAAUGCAUGGACUACUUUUCAACCUUCUCAGUAGGCUUCACCGUGCGUGGAUGACUUUUAUCACCCAAUGUGGCGUGUACUUUGAUCCACUCAAUGAUACACGGAUAGGGAUAUUGGACGUGGCUCAUCAAAUGGCCACAUUCAUGUCAGCUCAAAGGGCAGUAGAGAAGACCCCAUUUAAUGCGGAGUAGAGAGAGAGAGGAGAGAGAGAAGACGAGACGUUUGAAAUGGCCCAUGAUGUGGACCACUUCUCAUGCCCCUCAAAUGGCCUAGUAACGGGCAGGCCGAACUAGGGAGAAAUGGUUCAGCUAAAUCAUUCCAGCUUCAAUGAGGAAACGGUUUACACAUUUCCUGAGGAGUUAUUGGCAUGUUUCCCAAGGCAUCUCUUCUCAUCUUAUAACAUCGGUGACCAGAGGGUACCAUAGGGUUGGGAGUGAGUUUCCAAUAGAGUGAUCUCUAUAUGUUGGUGAGAGACUAAUGAGUUUUUUGAGGGCCAAGAUUAGAGAUCUAUAUUCUAGGUUCUGGAGAGUGUUCUUCUGUACAUUUUACAUCUUGUGGAGCUUUUCAUCGCUGCCCGUGGACGUAGGAGGUUGACCUCUGAACCACAUAAAUUUUUGUGUCUCUGGUUAUGAGUUGUUCAUUUUAUUUAUGUCCUCUAGCUUCCGCGCUAAGUCUAUAUUGAGGUUUUAUCUCUAACUACUAAUAUCAUAGCUGUAGUUUUUGUUAGUAAUUAUAGAAACAUAAAAUAUUUAUUACAUGAUCAACUUGAAUGAGAACAAUUAGAUAAUAUAGAAACCAAGAAUGGAAGAUCUUCUGUAUUGUAAAGACCUAUAUGAACCCAUGCAAGGAGAUAGUGCAAAACCAGAGGUGACAUCAGUUGAUGAUUGAAAAAGACUAGAUCAGAAGACUAUUGGCUUCAUCAGGCAAUGGCUUCAUGAUAGUGUUUUUCACCACGUAUCUAUAAAGAACUCUGCACAUUCUCUUUGGAAGAAGCUAGAAAGUUUUUACGAGAGAAAAACAGUAAGUAACAAAGCAUUCUUGAUCAGAAAGCUUGUGAAUCUGAAGUACAAGGAGAGAUCUUUUAUUGUUGAGCAUUUGAAUGAAAUAUAGAGUAUUAUUAAUUAAUUAACCUCUAUGGAGAUGUGUCUUGAUGAUGAGUUGUAGGCACUAUUACUUCUCAAUUUGUUGCUAGAUAGUUGGGAGACAUCGGUGGUGUCUCUCAUCAAUUCUACGCUAGAUGGUGUUGUCACCAUGAGUCAAGUAAUAAGCAACUUACUCAAUGAAGAGUUGAGACGGAAAAACUCAACUAGUUCUCAUAGUGAAACAUAAGCAGUCAUCACAGAAAAUAGAGAGCAGUCAAAGUCAAGAGAUAAAAGUUACUUCAAAGGUAGAAGCAAGUCAAGAUCAAGGAAGGAGAUCAUUUGUUAUAAUUGUGGUGAAAAAUGACAUUUCAAGAAUCAGUGUAAGUAACCCAAAAAUAACAAGAAAAAGAAAAAAGNNNNNNNNNNNNNNNNNNNNUAGACAAUGAAGAAUCAAAAGGGAACACCGUGGCCAUUAUUCAAAGUGGUGAAUAUUUGAUUUUAUCUACUACUGAUGAGAUUUUUCCUUAUGUUAGCAAAUAUUCAGAAUGGAUCAUUGAUAUAAGAGCCUCAUAUCAUGUCGUACCAAGGAGAGAGUACUUUGCCAAGUACAAAGCUAGAAACUUGAGAAUUGUCAAGAUGGGCAACAAAAGGAUAGCAAACAUUAUUAAUAUUGGUGAUGUUCACAUUAGGACCAAUCUUGGUGGACCCACUUGCGAGCAUCGGCGCACUGCCUGACGCGCGAAGGAUUGAGCAUCUCCGUCGCGAGGUUGCGGCGGAGAAGCUGCCACAAAGGGCCGUAACCGGCGCUACUGAUGCUGUACUGGUUAGAACUGACAAUGCGGACGGCAGCGGAGGGGGGAGGUCGGUGGGCGAAUACGGCCCCAUGCUGGACGAGCAUCUCGUGUGCUUGAUCCCGGUCGGCGACCACGAUGGUCGGGUAGUAGCCGAGGUGGAUUGUCACGACGGGGCCGUACUUGGACCAGAGCUCCCCGAGGAGGGAUUCGAAGUCGGCGGCAGAGCGGGUGAGCCAC